CUACACAGCAGUCGAGCGGAUGACGGGAGCUUGCUCCUUGAUUCAGCGGCGGACGGGUGAGUAAUGCCUAGGAAUCUGCCUGGUAGUGGGGGACAACGUUUCGAAAGGAACGCUAAUACCGCAUACGUCCUACGGGAGAAAGCAGGGGACCUUCGGGCCUUGCGCUAUCAGAUGAGCCUAGGUCGGAUUAGCUAGUUGGUGGGGUAAUGGCUCACCAAGGCGACGAUCCGUAACUGGUCUGAGAGGAUGAUCAGUCACACUGGAACUGAGACACGGUCCAGACUCCUACGGGAGGCAGCAGUGGGGAAUAUUGGACAAUGGGCGAAAGCCUGAUCCAGCCAUGCCGCGUGUGUGAAGAAGGUCUUCGGAUUGUAAGCACUUUAAGUUGGAGGAAGGGCAGUAAGCUAUACCUUGCUGUUUGACGUACGACAGAUAGCACCGCUACUCUGUGCAGCAGCGCGUAUACAGAGGUGCAGCGUAUCGAUACUGGCGUAGCGCGCGUAGUGUUGUAGUGAUGUGAAGCCGGCUCACUGGACUGCAUCAACUGCAGCUAGA
RNAcentral lists this ribosomal RNA (555 nucleotides) under bacterium amp-w-63. RNAcentral describes it as "bacterial SSU rRNA". The stretch from base 1 to 479 matches the Rfam family "Bacterial small subunit ribosomal RNA", at positions 49 to 541 of the family's 1533-position model. The record is from RNAcentral.